CCCCUGGUGGUCCGACCUGUAAACACACAAGUUCCCUGACUGAGCGUUUCCCAGUGUGAUUUUCCCCGACUCCUGGAAACAAUGAGAGAGAAAUACUUUGGGAGCUUCGAAGGUAUAAAUAACGCAGCAGCCAACAGCAAGAGGCUUCGAGAAUGUGACCUGUGAAGAACAGACUUGGAGCCAUCUCUGCCAGGCAGCAGAAUAUUAGUGUCCCCAUGGCAGGAUAUUUCUUCUUUAUGGGCCCUGGAAAUACACCUCCUUAGCUCACACUUGCCCACCUAUACCCUCCCUCUGAGAGCCUGCUUCUGACCUCCCAGGGGGGUCAGUGCUCUGCCUGUCCUGCCUAACCUGGGAUCUUGGCCCACAAGAUGACUGACUAUAAUAGCCACUGGAUUAACAUAGCAGGCAUUGUCUUUCUCUGACUAUAGGGUG
Molecule: long non-coding RNA, 432 nt
Filed under: Mus spicilegus (steppe mouse)
Lineage: Eukaryota; Metazoa; Chordata; Mammalia; Rodentia; Muridae
Description: lncRNA (ENSMSIG00000016336.1)
Source: RNAcentral